RNAcentral lists this ribosomal RNA (492 nucleotides) under uncultured bacterium. Its description in RNAcentral is "partial 16S ribosomal RNA". It matches the Rfam family "Bacterial small subunit ribosomal RNA", at positions 29 to 507 of the family's 1533-position model. The record is from RNAcentral.
AGUGAACGCUGGCGGUAGGCCUAACACAUGCAAGUCGAACGGCAGCACAGUAAGAGCUUGCUCUUACGGGUGGCGAGUGGCGGGCGGGUGAGGAAUACAUCGGAAUCUACUUUUUCGUGGGGGAUAACGUAGGGAAACUUACGCUAAUACCGCAUACGACCUACGGGUGAAAGCAUGGGAUCUUCGGACCUUGCGCGAUUGAAUGAGCCGAUGUCGGAUUAGCUAGUUGGCGGGGUAAAGGCCCACCAAGGCGACGAUCCGUAGCUGGUCUGAGAGGAUGAUCAGCCACACUGGAACGGAGACACGGUCCAGACUCCUACGGGAGGCAGCAGUGGGGAAUAUUGGACAAUGGGCGCAAGCCUGAUCCAGCCAUACCGCGUGGGUGAAGAAGGCCUUCGGGUUGUAAAGCCCUUUUGUUGGGAAAGAAAAGCAGCAGGUUAAUACCCCGCUGUUCUGACGGUACCCAAAGAAUAAGCACCGGCUAACUUCGUG